This 254-nucleotide ribosomal RNA is filed under the name uncultured bacterium. RNAcentral describes it as "partial 16S ribosomal RNA". It matches the Rfam family "Bacterial small subunit ribosomal RNA", at positions 524 to 776 of the family's 1533-position model. The record is from RNAcentral.
UACGUAGGGUGCGAGCGUUGUCCGGAAUUAUUGGGCGUAAAGAGCUCGUAGGCGGCCUGUCACGUCGGCUGUGAAAACCCGGGGCUCAACCCCGGGCCUGCAGUCGAUACGGGCAGGCUAGAGUUCGGCAGGGGAGACUGGAAUUCCUGGUGUAGCGGUGAAAUGCGCAGAUAUCAGGAGGAACACCUGAGGUGAAGACGGGUUGCUGGGCCGACACUGACGCUGAUAGCGCGAAAGCCAGGGGAGCAAACGGG